Molecule: non-coding RNA, 107 nt
Organism: Cubamyces lactineus
Lineage: Eukaryota; Fungi; Basidiomycota; Agaricomycetes; Polyporales; Polyporaceae
Source: the annotation of a GenBank genome assembly
GGCCGCCUGGCGAAAUGGCAUCGCGUCUGACUACGAAAGUAUGCGGGUUCAGCCUGCUGCUGACGUAAGCCAUCAGGAGAUUGCAGGUUCGACCCCUGCGGUGGUCA